CCUACGGGAGGCAGCAGUGGGGAAUAUUGGACAAUGGGGGGAACCCUGAUCCAGCGACGCCGCGUGAGUGAAGAAGUAUUUCGGUAUGUAAAGCUCUAUCAGCAGGGAAGAAAGAAAUGACGGUACCUGACUACGAAGCCCCGGCUAACUACGUGCCAGCAGCCGCGGUAAUACGUAGGGGGCAAGCGUUAUCCGGAUUUACUGGGUGUAAAGGGAGCGUAGACGGCGAUGCAAGUCUGAAGUGAAAGGCGGGGGCCCAACCCCUGGACUGCUUUGGAAACUGUAUGGCUGGAGUGCAGGAGAGGUAAGUGGAAUUCCUAGUGUAGCGGUGAAAUGCGUAGAUAUUAGGAGGAACACCAGUGGCGAAGGCGGCUUACUGGACUGUAACUGACGUUGAGGCUCGAAAGCGUGGGGAGCAAACAGGAUUAGAUACCCCAGUAGUC
This 443-nucleotide ribosomal RNA is filed under the name uncultured bacterium. RNAcentral's name for it is "partial 16S ribosomal RNA". It matches the Rfam family "Bacterial small subunit ribosomal RNA", at positions 338 to 795 of the family's 1533-position model. The record is from RNAcentral.